GGGGCCCUGGAGCGUGGGCGCGAGCUCCGGCCGUCGGUCCCUGGCGCAGGGCGAGCGCAGCGGUGUCAGCCCCGGCCCCAGUCCGGGUCCCAUUCACAAGUCGGCGGCGGCUGCAAGCGGCCCCCGCGGCAUCUGCUAGCGACGCUCCCCUCGGCUGGCGGUGGCCGCGGAAUGAGCCGCCGAGCGCGCUAGUGGCAGGAAUGAGAAACCGGGGGGAGGUGGCGGGCUGGCGGGCGGGCGGGCGGGCGGGGGCGGGCGGGGGGGGGGGGGGGGGAGGAGGAGGAGGGAGGCAGCCGUUGGGAGGGAAGGAAAGGGCGGGGGACGGAGAGGAGCCGAGGCCGCGAGACGCGGCGAGCUGGGCCUCGCAGAGGCUGCGGGGGACGACCCUGUCCACGCCCCUCCCCCUAGGGGCCCCGAGAUGCCAACCCCUGGAUUCGUGGCCGCCCCUCCCGCCUGGGUCGCUGCACUCCGGCUCCCUUGGGGCUCAGACAGAGUCUAGAGCGACUGAAGUUGGGCUCCAGAGACGCACAGCCAAUCAGGGAGGGCGGCGGAGGGAAGCUGGGCAAGGAUGGGAGCCCCUUUUUCCUCCUUCACCCAAAUCCGCUCCAGCUGGUCGGGCUGGGCCCUUGCCCGGGAGGCCUGGAUGGUGGGCUGGGGGAAAGCAUCGUCCAAGCGGGGGAGGCAAUAGCGAAUUGUUCUACCUUCCGAAAAUCGCUCCACGUCGGCGGGUCCCCUCCCCCAUCCCUUGCAAACUCUGCUUGGGGCGCGGGCGAUGAAACCUGGGGGAGGGAGACUUCGGACUUGGGAAAAGCCACGUCUCCGUUCUCUACAAUUCUCCCCCACCCCCUCCUCCGAUGCCUCAUGUCUGGAGGGGGGGGCACGAGGAACGCUCCGCCAGGGUCGGCCUCAUGCGUCCCUCGGAUGCCUAGGCUUCCGCCUCCCGCAGGCCAUCCCUUUUGUGAAUGACAGCAUCAGCGGAUUUUAAAAAAGAGGAUUGGGGAGAAGAAAAGAGACGGAAGAAGAGGAGAGGAGAAAAAAGGAAAUUGAAGCAGAGAAGUAACAUAUAAUAAUCCUAGGCUUAAGCUAGAUUUAUUUUGGGGAAAGAUGAUUGUUCCUGAAAUGUUCUAAUUUCUUGUGUAUCUAGCUAUCCACUGCUGAUUGUAAGGAUUGCAAUCGUCAAUGACAGAUUUGCUUGCUUGGUUCUUUCUCUGAUGAAUCCAUUUAAUUCUGUGGCCACUGUGCCUUUCAUAGGAAGAGCUGCCUCACAGUCACAUGAGAAUAGAUCAAUUUUUGUUUGGCUCAUACGCAUCUUCUCAAAAUGAAUUAAGUAGAGUAAGUAGAAGAACUUUAAUAGGAUUGGAAGAUCAAAGAUGGUGAGAAGAUUUAAGUAUAUCGUCAGUACAUCAAGAAUAAUAAAAUUAAAUGUGUCUGAAAACAGAUGAUUCUAAGCAAUUUUGAUAGAGAUAGUCUCUUCCUCUCAAGUAACUUAAAAACCCUAAUUGGAUGAGCUGAUUUGGACAGUCAUCCCAGCCCCAGUGAAAUAAAUGUAUGGAAAGUAUAUAAAAAAUCCUUGUGCCUAUUUUGUUAUAUUGAAGUUCUCUUCAUGUGUCGUAUAUUCUCCAGCCAUCUUUCAAGAUCUACUACCGCUAAGAAGUCUUUGUACAUUUCUCUGAUUGCUGGGGUUCGCUCUAAAGCUCCUACAGAAGUUCUCCUCUGCAUCUCAAGAUUAGAUUUGGAAUCAUGUGCUGUCUUGUACUACUGGGUUUUUUUUCCCUUUUGCAUUUACUUUCCUUUCUCACGUAGGUGGAAGGAAACGCACAUGGCAAAUUCCAGCGUUACUAGGGAAAUGCUGACUGGAGGCCCUCCAGUGACGUUACAGGGUAAUCUAAUUUUGCAUUCUUCGAAUUCAGUGUAUUGUGAUCUUCAGCUUCUCACUUCCAAGAAUUCAGUCCCAGAAAUGAUGAUCGAUUAGGACAUUUAUUGUGUUUUCCUAACACUUGAGUUAUCUCAAUGUUAAAUGGAGGCAAUCUGGACAAAGCAGAAGCUCACAGUCCCAACUACUUGUAAGGGAAUGAAGACAACUUCAUUCACCAGAAUUUCUCCUAAGUGGAGCCCCAUAUGUGUUUCAAAGAAAUGAAUAAUACGUGGAAGGGAUGGUGAGUGGCAAGAAAAUACUCAAGUGGAGAAAGAUGGCACCUAAAUUGCCUUCUCAAGGACACCACAGCUCCAGGAGAAUGUUUGGCUUUGACUGAGCACCUUGAAUGGUUGAGAGUUGAAAAACUGGGAGUCAGAGCCAAGGCAGAUCUAAGUUGUACUGGGCUGCUGUAUCAUACAACUUCAGGUGCUUCCACUGGCAUCUGAGCUAGGAGCUGACUGUGGAGAAGAGGAGUGUCUAAGGGAGAUUUUGUUUUUCACAUAAAUGCAAUAUCAGUUCUCCUCUUUAUUCUCCUCCCAAACACCAUCACAAAGGCAUAACAAAAUAUAUAUUGUGUGUUGGAG
This 2499-nucleotide long non-coding RNA is filed under the name Equus asinus (donkey). RNAcentral's name for it is "lncRNA (ENSEASG00005032404.1)". Lineage: Eukaryota; Metazoa; Chordata; Mammalia; Perissodactyla; Equidae. The record is from RNAcentral.